Long non-coding RNA from Esox lucius (northern pike), 2033 nucleotides. Lineage: Eukaryota; Metazoa; Chordata; Actinopteri; Esociformes; Esocidae. The record is from Ensembl.
ACUUCAUAGUGGAACCUGUGAAUUAAGAACAUGUCAAUCCAUCCAGCGUGAGGGAGCAAGCUACCACAGUUAACCACACCCACGCUGGGCUUGGACCUGGGUCCUCGGCUUCAAAACACGUGACCAUUACGUUCUUCACUCCAUUAAACACAGUGAGGAGGUUGGUAAAGGGACAAAACAAUCUCCAAGGAUCACAGCAGAAGUGAGUUACACCUUCGAGUCACCAAGUCUCCAAAACUAUGAAAAAGAGCCGUAAAGAAAAUAAAUGAAUCCCCAUUGUGAAGUAUGGUGGUGGAUCUGUCAAGGGGCUGUUUUACUUCCUAAGGCACUGGGAAACGUUUUAGGCUACAUGGCAACCUGUAUUCCAUCAAGUACCAGGAGAUUUAAGCCGAAAACCUGUCCGCCUCUGCCAGUAAGCUGGGACCGGCUCCUCGUUGGAUCUUCCACCAUUUACUAAUGAAAGAAUCUUGUUGCAAUGGAUAUCACAGUCCCCUGACCUCAAUUCCUUGGAAACCCUGUGGGAUGAGUUGAGGAGAGUUUACAAGCAAGGAGCAGAGUCUUUGAGAGUUUCUGUAUGGAGGAAGGAUUCCUCCCAGUGUUCUCCCACCUCAUCAAACAUUAUUGGAUUUGACUCAGGGCUGUUAUCUCCACAAGGGGAGGGUACACAAAGUAUUAAAUGCAGCAGUGCCAAUAAUUGCUGCACACUUGUUUUUUACAAUAAUAAUAAUAAUACUAUAAUUUUUUUUCUUUGAAGAAUUUUCACAAAAAAAUUCUACUAAAUUAAUUUCACUUUGUUAUAACCUUAAUACGUAAAAUCAAUAAUAAUCCCAAGCAAAACCACCUCACCAUGUCUACAUAUAUGCUAAACAAACAUUAGCACAAUGAAUAACACCUUGGCAAGUACAAAUAUUUACAUUGUGCCCCUUGUUACAUUCUUACCUUGUUCCACGCACAUACACCAGGAAUUUGAUCUGGUGAAAUCGACUUCACACAUUAAAAGCAGUUAAAAAAAUGAGGUUAAGUAAUGAUGUAAUGAUGCUUACUGGCCACAAGCUGUCGCUGUUGCAGUGGACAAACAGUAUGGCCAAACUGAGGAAGAUUUGAGUUGAGGUCCACACCAAACACAAAUCAAACCCAUAGCGAUCCUUUAAUUCAUUAAGAUGUGUUAUUAAAAUAGAUUUAGUUUACAAAGCCCAUGUCAUUGCCUACCUUCCAGAUCUGCAUUCUUAAACAACUUCUUCCAAAACCAAUUUUUGCCUGUGAUCAAAAACAUUUUGCGACCACAUAAUGUCAAUAAGGGUGAUGGAUUCAACAGUCAAUGUUUACUUUUAUUUUGUUUCAAAUAUAUUUUAUUAGAAGACAGAAACAGACAGGAAUGUAAACAAAAUAAAAGUUCAGGAAAACAAAGGAUUACCAUAAGGCAAUUAUUGUAUAUGAGCUUCUGUGUGGAAAAGAUAAUCAUUGAUUAUGUUCUAUGUUCCACAGUUGGAUUUAUUGCCUAGUCCUGUCCACUCUGUUCUAAAGAAAAUAGAAGACACACAUCUUCCUGAGUGUCUUAUCUAUCGCAAAUAACAUCAUAAUAUUUUGUAGCUUAACUCUUAAAACGGUUAUAGCCACAUUUGUAGGACGAUAACAGAAACCGCUAUGAUUAUUAACAACACAGCAUAAAAUCAGACACAUUUUGCGAUACACGUAACUCUGGUAAAAACAAAAACAAAUGCAGUCCACUCUGUUCAUAACAUAUUGUUUUGGGACAGAAAACAGUAAUGAGAUCAGAUGUUUCAUCAAUGACAAAAGUCAUUUUUCCAUCUUGCUCUAAAGGAUUAUACCUUAGAGUAGGAUGACCAGAUUAUUCAGACCAAUGCUCAUGAAGUGUGCAAAGCUGUCAUCACGGCAUAGGGUGGCUACUUUGAAAAAUCAACAAUGUUAAAGGUAUUUUGAACUGUUUAACAAUUUUGGUUACUACACGAUUCCAUGUGAGUUAUUUCAUAGUUUUGAUGUCUUUACUAUUAUUGUACAAUGUUGAAAAUAGC